Molecule: RNA transcript, 1957 nt
Organism: Toxotes jaculatrix (banded archerfish)
Lineage: Eukaryota; Metazoa; Chordata; Actinopteri; Toxotidae
Gene: dnajc24
Gene name: DnaJ (Hsp40) homolog, subfamily C, member 24
Exons: 6
Source: RefSeq, a predicted model, not a curated record
GCGGAACUCAGUCGUGUCAGGCGGACCAGAAACACAUGUUGUUUUCAGGGGGACUCAUAACACGGUUGUACACUAUGUCGUCUCUCAGCUGACAGCUUCAUGUUUAAGGGAUGUGUGAGGCAGAGAAGAAGGACCUGUAUGCUGUCCUGGGAGCCAGCCCCUCAGACUCAGCCCAGCAGCUCAAACACAGAUACCAGCAGCUGGCCUUACAGUACCACCCAGACCGUCUUAGAGGUGAGUGUUCUUCAGAGGCAGAGUCUGGUGUGAAGAAGUUUCUGGAAAUUGAUGCAGCCUGGAGGAUCCUUAGAGACCAGAGCACCAGGAGACAGUAUGACCUGCAGAGGAGAGCACAGGAACUGAAACAGGAUUGGCCGGUAGAUUCCACAGUCUAUCUGGAGGACAUGACCUGGGACCAGGAUGAGUGUGUGUAUACACACUGUUGUCGCUGUGGAGGAGCAUUCAUCAUUUCAGAGGAGGAGGUGGAGGAGGAGACACAGAGGAGGCAGCAGGAUGAUGAAGAGGAGGAGACGGUGGAGGGACAGCACAGAGGAGUGGUCAUCUGCUGUGAUACAUGCUCCCUCAGUGUGUACGUCACAUGGUCACUACACAGAAAGACUCCAGCGUCAAAAUGCCAAGAAUAAUACCUGCUCAGAAACCUUUCGCCUCUGACACUGAGGAGCAGAUGUUUGUUCAACAUGUCUCUUCUUGGAAGGCACCAAAUGAACAAAGCAUGUUGUGGGUUGGUGGACGUGGACAGUGUAAGAGUUGUCCUCUGUUGGAUCUGACUCCCUGUGUUUGUACGGGGUAGUGAAGAUGACUGAUGCCUGACCAUCCUUCCCUUUGGAAGCAGCAGCUUAUCAGCAGCGAGUGCUGUUUGUAUGUUCGGCUGCCUGGUACUAUGGCAACAGGCAGCGCGGUUUCACCGCCGCUGCACAGUCAGUGUAAAGCUUAUUGCUUUUUAUACAUGUUCUGUUUAUGGUACAAUGUCCCAUAAAGCAAAAUAAGAGCUCACGGUGUGAACCUGUGAUACAAGUGCAGUUCAUUUUUUUGAGAGUAUACCUGUGAGGUUUUACUCAGGCAGAGUGAGGGGCGUCUGUAGACUCUGGGGUCCUCCCUACGUGUCUCAACCUGCCUGCUGGCUGGCGUGAUGCUGCUUAGCAUACCUGAUGCUCAUCAAGCACAUCACUCACAGACACGCACAGCAGAUAACCAGCAGCUAAUCUGGUGUUAACAUUUAAAGCAGAUGUGGGAACAUGGGUAAUGUGUUCAUACGGUGUCAUUUGCAAAAUUUGAUAUAGAUGCUGAACAGAUGAUGCUAAACAUUAUGUGAUUAACAUUUAUUAAAAUUACACUAGCAGUACACUUUGUAGUACUGCAUCCACAGAGCACACUGUCAGCAUAAACAUCUUUAAUUUCACCCCAGAUUCCAGAGGAAAAAAUAACGUUCAUCUGAAUCAAUCAGCAAGUCACCAACAGUGAAAACAGUGAACUAAGAAACAUUUACAGUGAUGAAGUAAAGAAGAACGAGUUCCUCUUUUUUUUCCUGGUGUUCCAUCUGAUUAAAAGCAAAAAAAGAGUAAAAAAGCAAAUCAUUUGUAUAGUGAAACUAUCCUAUGACCCUGAAAAAUUAUCCUGUGACCUCCUACGGUCCUGACCCCCAGGUUUAGAACCGGUCCCCUAAAUGACAGCGCUAUUCUCCUCACAGCGGGGCUGCGACAGACACACAAAGGGAUAAAGGCUGGUAAUGACUCUGCUCCCUCUCUGGUCACUCAGCCUGCAAAGGUCACAGCUGACAGAGGCUCCAAGUGAUGAUCGUCUCUCAUCUAUUAUCCCCCCUAAUCCAUCCAUCCAUCCAUCCAUCCAUAUCUGCCCUCUUCACAGAGAGGAGGUGAAGAAGAAGGGAGGAGGGCAGAGAAAGUUAAGCAUCAUCAAAAUCAGCAGCAGUGGUCAGCGGUGG